AGUGAACGCUGGCGGUAGGCCUAACACAUGCAAGUCGAACGGCAGCACAGUAAGAGCUUGCUCUUACGGGUGGCGAGUGGCGGACGGGUGAGGAAUACAUCGGAAUCUACUUUUUCGUGGGGGAUAACGUAGGGAAACUUACGCUAAUACCGCGUACGACCUACGGGUGAAAGCAGGGGAUCUUCGGACCUUGCGCGAUUGAAUGAGCCGAUGUCGGAUUAGCUAGUUGGCGGGGUAAAGGCCCACCAAGGCGACGAUCCGUAGCUGGUCUGAGAGGAUGAUCAGCCACACUGGAACUGAGACACGGUCCAGACUCCUACGGGAGGCAGCAGUGGGGAAUAUUGGACAAUGGGCGCAAGCCUGAUCCAGCCAUACCGCGUGGGUGAGGAAGGCCUUCGGGUUGUAAAGCCCUUUUGUUGGGAAAGAAAAGCAGCAGGUUAAUACCCCGCUGUUCUGACGGUACCCAAAGAAUAAGCACCGGCUAACUUCGUG
This 492-nucleotide ribosomal RNA is filed under the name uncultured bacterium. RNAcentral describes it as "partial 16S ribosomal RNA". It matches the Rfam family "Bacterial small subunit ribosomal RNA", at positions 29 to 507 of the family's 1533-position model. The record is from RNAcentral.